ACGAAGGGUGCAAGCGUUAAUCGGAAUUACUGGGCGUAAAGGGUGCGUAGGCGGUUCGUUAAGUCUGUCGUGAAGUCCCCGGGCUCAACCUGGGAAUGGCGAUGGAUACUGGCGAGCUAGAGUGUGUCAGAGGAUGGUGGAAUUCCCGGUGUAGCGGUGAAAUUCGUAGAUAUUGGGAAGAACACCAGUGGCGAAGGCGGCUAACUGGUCCAGAUCUGACGCUGAGGUGCGAAAGCGUGGGGAGCAAACAGGA
RNAcentral lists this ribosomal RNA (253 nucleotides) under uncultured prokaryote. Its description in RNAcentral is "partial 16S ribosomal RNA". It matches the Rfam family "Bacterial small subunit ribosomal RNA", at positions 525 to 777 of the family's 1533-position model. The record is from RNAcentral.